UCCCUAGGUGACAUGUCUGACUGCUGGGAUACUCAACAGAAUGUUGUAUGUGUAGGAUUUCAAGUCCUAGCUGUAAAGUACAAUGACAUUGCUGAUACACACAGAAUUUCCGCCCUCCCUGUACUUGUUCAAUGCUCUGCAGA
Long non-coding RNA from Bufo bufo (common toad), 143 nucleotides. RefSeq lists it as uncharacterized. The transcript has 3 exons. The record is from RefSeq and is a predicted model, not a curated record. Lineage: Eukaryota; Metazoa; Chordata; Amphibia; Anura; Bufonidae.